This 487-nucleotide ribosomal RNA is filed under the name uncultured Alphaproteobacteria bacterium. Its description in RNAcentral is "bacterial SSU rRNA". It matches the Rfam family "Bacterial small subunit ribosomal RNA", at positions 9 to 521 of the family's 1533-position model. Lineage: Bacteria; Pseudomonadati; Pseudomonadota; Alphaproteobacteria. The record is from RNAcentral.
GAGUUUGAUCCUGGCUCAGGAUGAGCGCUAGCGGCGUGCCUAAGGUAUGCAAGUCGAACGGAUGGCUUCGGCCAUUAGUGGCGAACGGUCGAGUAACACGUAGACAACCUGCCGAUCAGUGGGGGAUAACUGCGGGAAACUGCAGCUAAUACCGCAUACGACCGGAAGCGGCAUCGCUUCUCGGUUAAAGGAGCAAUUCGCUGGUCGAUGGGUCUGCGGCCUAUCAGCUCGUUGGUGAGGUAACGGCUCACCAAGGCGACGACGGGUAGCUGGUCUGAGAGGAUGAUCAGCCGGACGGGGACUGAGACACGGCCCAGACUCCUACGGGAGGCAGCAGUGGGGGAAUCUUGGACAAUGGGCGCAAGCCUGAUCCAGCCAUGCCGCGUGAGUGAAGAAGGCCUUAGGGUUGUAAAACUCUUUCGCCGGAGAAGAUAAUGACGGUAUCCGGAGAAGAAGCCCCGGCUAACUUCGUGCCAGCAGCCGCUGU